GGGAUGGAGUGUAUGGAGGUGGUGGCUUGACGGUGGGCGGUUUUGGAGUGUAAGGUGGAGGGGAUGGAGUGUACGGAGGUGGUGGCUUGACGGUGGGUGGUUUUGGAGUGUAAGGUGGAGGGCAUGGAGUGUACGGAGUUGGAGGCUUGACGGUGGGCGGCUUUGGGGUGUGAUGAGGUGGCUUGUCGGUGGGUGGUUUGGGAGUGUGAUGAGGUGGUUUAACGGUGGGUGGUUUUGGGGUAUGAUGAGGUGGUUUUGGGAUAUGAUGAGGUGGUUUAACGGUGGGUGGUUUUGGAGUGUGAUGAGGUGGUUUAACGGUGGGUGGUUUUGGAGUGUGAUGAGGUGGUUUGACGGUGGGUGGUUUUGGAGUGUGAUGAGGUGGCUUGACAGUGGGUGGUUUUGGAGUGUGAUGUGGUGGCUUGACAGUGGGUGGUUUUGGAGUGUGAUGUGGUGGUUUGACAGUGGGUGGUUUAGGCGGUUUAACGGGAUGUUGAGGAGGUUUAAC
This 505-nucleotide long non-coding RNA is filed under the name Brassica napus (rape). Its description in RNAcentral is "long non-coding RNA (BNAP_LNC009763)". The record is from RNAcentral. Lineage: Eukaryota; Viridiplantae; Streptophyta; Magnoliopsida; Brassicales; Brassicaceae.